UAUCUGCAGGACUUAAUUCAUUCAGAUGUUGCAGCUUGCUCGUUACGGAAGUGUAGUGACGAGUGUUGAGCAGUGCUUCAAGUCACCUAUCCACUAAAGGGUGAUUUGUAUAGGGCCACAAAUGAUCUUUCUUCCUUUUAUUAAAACAUGUUUUUGCUCUCUCCAUCUCAUUAUAAGAUACUGUAUGAGUGCAUAGUGCCAUUCCAUUGCAGGGCCUCAACCCAUGUUACACUCUCUCUUCCACAACCCCUCCCCUAACGACUGACUACACCCAGCUGUGCUCAUUUCCGCAGGACGUGGUGUCGACAAACAUCGCAGAGACUUCCCUGACCAUCGACGGCAUGGUGUUUGUUAUUGAUCUCGGAUUUGCCGUCCCUCCUCUCCCCAGCCUAAUCUCCUCCGAUCGUCUGCCUCUGUUGCCUGAAAAUCCCCAGAUAAACAGAGCAGCGCUGCACCUGACAGCGGCAGAGAUAGAAAAGCCAGUUAUUAAUUCUGCUGACAUUUCUCCAGCACGGAGCCAAGUCAUACAUGUGGCUCAAUCAGAGAUGAUAUAUGCACCCGGCGGAUUGUCUGUGUGUGCGCGUUUGUGUGUGUGUGAUAUGGGAAUGUGUGUUAGUGUCUCGUCCUCUGUGUGUGAAACUCAAUUCCCCCUGUAACCUGCACACAAACACUGGUCUAUUUCUCCACCUCGUAACCUUGAUGCUCCCUAUGCCACAUCCCGUUUUCUAAAUGUUAGUGUACCUGUGUUUUGGGUUGCAAAGAAAUUCCCUGGUUUUCCCCAAAAUCCCAGUUGGAGGAUCCCUGGAAUCAGGAGUGAAUAAGCAGAAAAAUCCCUGUUAAACCAGGGAAUUAUUUUGAAGUUCCCAGAUUUCUGCUACCCUCCCUACCUGUGAGAGUGAUCUGAAUCCAGUCUGUGCCGCACCGGUCUGCCUUGCUGUUUCUGCCAGGUGUAUAAUUCUCAUAUCGGAGUGGAGUCCGUCCUGGUGACAGCCAUCAGCAAAGCAUCGGCCCAACACAGAGAAGGCCUACAAGACCGAGAUGCAGCCCUUUUCACUCGGAGAACUGGUUUCCCCACCAAUCACCCACAGCCUUUUUUAAUAACCUGCGCCAGUGACACGGACCCCCCCCCCGUGACAAAUGAACACGUGAAAGACCCAGUCCUCCACUUUAACAGGGACAAAACGUAUCCAGAUAUUUUGAGGUCCAACCUGGAUUCGGUCGUGCUGCAGCUCAAGAAGCUAGGUGCCGACGACUUGGUACA
This is a long non-coding RNA of Salvelinus fontinalis (brook trout), 1261 nucleotides long. RefSeq lists it as uncharacterized. The record is from RefSeq and is a predicted model, not a curated record. The transcript is spliced from 3 exons. NCBI's taxonomy places the organism in Eukaryota, Metazoa, Chordata, Actinopteri, Salmoniformes, Salmonidae.